AAAUAAGAAGCGAUAUAUUGCAAUCAGUUUCGACCUGAUCUUAGAUGCCACCAUCCUUAUUUA
This 63-nucleotide transfer RNA is filed under the name Atlanticus sp. ZJZ-2017. RNAcentral describes it as "tRNA-Arg". Lineage: Eukaryota; Metazoa; Arthropoda; Insecta; Orthoptera; Tettigoniidae. The record is from RNAcentral.